GGUGGCUCAUUCGUAGAGUGCUUGCCUUGCAUGCAUGAAGCCCUGGGUUCAAUUCCUCAGCACCA
This 65-nucleotide transfer RNA is filed under the name Dipodomys ordii (Ord's kangaroo rat). It matches the Rfam family "tRNA". From Rfam's summary of the family: Transfer RNA (tRNA) molecules are approximately 80 nucleotides in length. Their secondary structure includes four short double-helical elements and three loops (D, anti-codon, and T loops). Lineage: Eukaryota; Metazoa; Chordata; Mammalia; Rodentia; Heteromyidae. The record is from Rfam by way of RNAcentral.